GUAUAAGAGACAGGUGAAUCAUCGAAUCUUUGAACGCACAUUGCGCCCGCUAGUAUUCUGGCGGGCAUGCCUGUUCGAGCGUCAUUUCAACCAUCAAGCCCCUGUGCUUGUGUUGGAGCCCUGCGGCUGCCGCAGGCUCCCAAACCCAGUGGCGGGCUCGUCGUCGUACCGAGUGCAGUAAAUUUACCACGCUCAGGGCACGCGAUGGGUGACCGGCCGUAAAACCCCCUACUUCUCAAAGGUUGACCUCGGAUCAGGUAGGAAUACCCGCUGAACUUAAGCAUAUCAAUAAGCGGAGGA
This 300-nucleotide unclassified non-coding RNA is filed under the name uncultured Schizothecium. Its description in RNAcentral is "sequence contains 5.8S rRNA gene, ITS2". The stretch from base 1 to 84 matches the Rfam family "5.8S ribosomal RNA", at positions 67 to 154 of the family's 154-position model. The record is from RNAcentral. Lineage: Eukaryota; Fungi; Ascomycota; Sordariomycetes; Sordariales; Lasiosphaeriaceae.